This 253-nucleotide ribosomal RNA is filed under the name uncultured bacterium. Its description in RNAcentral is "partial 16S ribosomal RNA". It matches the Rfam family "Bacterial small subunit ribosomal RNA", at positions 524 to 776 of the family's 1533-position model. The record is from RNAcentral.
UACGUAGGGGGCUAGCGUUGUCCGGAAUCAUUGGGCGUAAAGAGCGUGUAGGCGGCCCGGUAAGUCCGCUGUGAAAGUCGGGGGCUCAACCCUCGAAUGCCGGUGGAUACUGUCGGGCUAGAGUGCGGAAGAGGCGAGUGGAAUUCCUGGUGUAGCGGUGAAAUGCGCAGAUAUCAGGAGGAACACCGGUGGCGAAGGCGGGUCUCUGGGCAGUAACUGACGCUGAGGAGCGAAAGCGUGGGGAGCGAACAGG